AAUAAUGUGUUGCAAUGCAUAUUUGAUUCAUUAUUAUCCUACCGAUAUGUGAAGAACAACAUAUUGCCACCCAUCACGGCUGCAGUGAUUGGGCCAGGUUAAUUGAUGGGAACACCUGGCCAGGUGUUUCGACGUUUACAUACCGAGGGGCGAGGAUAAGCAGGGAAUCUCCCUAUGUGAAGUUUAAUUUUGAGCAAAAUAUUGACACGGACGUACUUCAAGAUGAAUUAAAUCGUUUGAUCGUAACAUCCCUCCAAUGACGAGCUACGAACCAGGAAAUAAAAAGUGUACUGGUCGUCCUCGAUGACCCGGGCCAGGCCGAAGUCGGCGAUCUUGCAGAGCAGACUGUCGGAGACCAGGACGUUAGCCGCUCUCAGGUCCCGGUGGAUGUAGUUCAUCUUCUCGAUACUUCUCCAAACUGUCCGGCUCCCAGCUUCUUCACCAUCUUGAUGGAGGUCUUGGAGAUCUCCCAGGCGUCCUUGUCCCACGGCUUCUGGGCUCGGGGCUUCUUGCAGGGAUGCAGCGGGCGCCCGCACAGCCCCUCCGGUUGUUCUGGGGGAAGCAGCGGAGAGGAGAGCCAUCAGCAUAUCCGACCACUCAGCAGUGCUCCACUAGAGCACCAUUCCAGGAGUUGUUGUUCUCGCAAGAGUAGCCCUUGACAGGUGGCUUGUUGGGCAUUUUGGAGAGGAAGUCCUUAUUGAGCUCGAUUUUGAAGACUUCGAGGUCCUUCACCGAGGAUACAUUGGCUGGGAUGAGGUUCCACAGCUUGGGCCCGAGUACUGCGAAAGAUGUAUCGUACAUCGUCUGAUGUUUCGCCUUUCCCGACUUCGAGAGUUUUGGGAGCUUUGCGGUGAUCCCGUUGCGUUUAGAGCUUUGAAACUCGAUCCCCAUGUUGUUAGGAUGGUGUCCUUUGAGAAUCUUCCACAUAGUCAUGAUGACAUAGCGCUCCCUUCGCCUUUGGAGUGACAGGAGUUUCAGGCUUUUGAGUCUCUCCCAGUAAUUCAUGUCUUGGCAUUGUGCAAGUCUAGCAGUGAAGGUUCGUUGAAGGGCUUCGAUCUUCUGGGUGAGACCAACCUUUGACGGGUGCCACAAUGGGCAGCAGUACUCAACUGCGCUCCUGACCAUGCUCUUGUAGUGUCAUCAUUGUGGUUGUAUCUCUGCAUUUGAAUACAUUAAACACCAAGGCAGACAUUCUUUUAGCCUUCUUUAUCAUGGCAUUGAUCUGUAUUUCCCACUUGAGAACAGCUGAUACGAUUACACCCAGAUCUUUGACAGAGUCAGAUGGACGGAGUGUGAUGCCACUUGAUGUGUCAUACCAGAACUGCUCCUUGAAGAAGGGGAGUUCUUUGAAGGCGUUGUUUCUGUCGCAACUGUGGUAGAGGUACUCAAACAUGUCCUCCUGCAGCUGCAUGUUGUUCCGCUAAACCUGUACAGUUUAUUUCUUUAUGAAGCAUUUUGUCCACUCCCAUGUUUAUAAGAAUAUUACCAACUUGAAAUACAUCCUUUUAAGAUAUAUUUAGACUAGUGAAAAUGGUGCGUUAAUUUGCAAUUUGCAAGUUAAUUAUGGACACUCAUGCAAAUUAAUCAUGAUAAAAUAUUUGAAUUGAUUGACAGCCCUAGUUAAGUUAAGUAUUUUUUUCUCAUGACAAAAUUUCCCUUAUGAACUAUGGAAGAACUGUGAAGGCUCUAUGGCAAAUUAUUUAUUUUCUUCUAUAGAGACAGCAGUAACCAUUAUUUUUCUAAGCCAAUGAAUACAUGAAUGUUAGAGUGUAAGUGUCGCUCCAUUACAUUUAACAGGGGACCAGUGUCAUUUUGUGGAGGCAAAGAGGGGACUUCUGUCAUUCUGUACAAUCCAAGUGGGAACCAUCUUUUCUGUUUAACAGCACAAACAAAUUCUACACAUUAAACCUUCUUGAAGGUCUGUGUUUUUGCAGGUUCUGACAUAUGCUGUAGGUAACGACAUAAAAAUAACUGAUGAUAGCUUAAAAGCUGUUCAAGUGCAGGGAAGAGUGAUUGUUGCUUGAUUGAACAGUGAUCAAUUGUGGUAAUUAAAACUGAAGUCAUGUUAUUUUGGAAAAACAUAAUUUAGAAAAAACUGUCUCUUGCGUAAGUUCAUAUUCAAAGAACAGAAAAAGAUGUGCUCUAAAAUAUAAAAGAUGGUCCCCACUUGGAUUAGAUGUUAGAAGCAGUGAGAAAGCUACAGAGACAGUGCGUGGUUGUGGUCUAAAGGGCAGAAAUGUAAUUUCAUACUGCAAUACUCAAGCUUAACCUCUAUUUGCAGUUUUCUUUCUGAUUAUCACACAAUUUACCAAGUAAUGAGUGCACGUAGGCCU
Gadus chalcogrammus (walleye pollock) is the source of this 2333-nucleotide long non-coding RNA. RefSeq lists it as uncharacterized. The transcript is spliced from 4 exons. Lineage: Eukaryota; Metazoa; Chordata; Actinopteri; Gadiformes; Gadidae. The record is from RefSeq and is a predicted model, not a curated record.